AUUGAACGCUGGCGGCACGCUUAACACAUGCAAGUCGAACGGCAGCACAAGAGGGUAACCUCUGGGUGGCGAGUGGCGGACGGGUGAGUAACGCGUAGGGAUCUGCCUGUUAGAGGGGGAUAAGCCGGGGAAACUCGGUCUAAUACCGCAUACGCUCUACGGAGGAAAGUAUGGGAUUUUAUUACCAUACACUAACAGAUGAACCUGCGUUAGAUUAGCUAGUUGGUAGGGUAAAGGCCUACCAAGGCGACGAUCUAUAGCUGGUCUGAGAGGAUGACCAGCCACACUGGAACUGAGAUACGGACCAGACUCCUACGGAGGGCAGCAGUGGGGAAGUAUUGGACGAAUAGGGGGCGGAACCCUACGAUCCAGCGAUGCCGCGUGUGUGAAGAAAGGCCU
This 399-nucleotide ribosomal RNA is filed under the name uncultured bacterium. RNAcentral describes it as "bacterial SSU rRNA". It matches the Rfam family "Bacterial small subunit ribosomal RNA", at positions 30 to 418 of the family's 1533-position model. The record is from RNAcentral.